This is a long non-coding RNA of Lemur catta (Ring-tailed lemur), 970 nucleotides long. RefSeq lists it as uncharacterized. The transcript has 3 exons. The record is from RefSeq and is a predicted model, not a curated record. NCBI's taxonomy places the organism in Eukaryota, Metazoa, Chordata, Mammalia, Primates, Lemuridae.
UUCCAAGGGCAGCUUUUUUUCCUAGUCCUCAUCGGCCACAGGGAAAGAAAUUGAGGGUCCAGGUUACAAAGAGCCAGCGCUAAAGAGGAUACCACAGAAGCAGCAGAGCAGACGAGGAAUUUGUGGAAUGUAAAUGUGCUUCCUCCUUUUCCUUCCGUGGGUAAGAAUGCUGCUUUCUCUAGCCUCUUCAUGCCCAGGUGUGACAACACCCCACCGUCCAGAGCCUACGUUCACUCCUCACCUGGUGACAGCUCUGACAGGACUGGAGCAUGCCAUGUUGCUUACAGGAUCAGCCUUUGGCUUUAGAACAGAGCCAGUUUCAAAUCUCUAGGCUAUCCUAUCAUUUAAAGGGUAGAAAUUGAGGAGGGCUAAUCAAAGGGACAAGAGAAGAAUCAAGAAGCCCUGGUGUCAAGAAAGCUAAGAAAGUGACAGGGUCUGCCGCAAAGUGCACAGAGGAGGCUCCAGAAGUGUGAAGAGGAAGGGAAAGGGAAUGAUGAAGAGACCAAAGGCCCAAGAAAGAUUGGAUCCAGAGCACCAGUGGAGGCUCUGGGCAGGAGAAAGUCCAGCUUUGCCUUUGAAAAUAGAGGAGAGGGCUGGAAGGUGAGGUGGCUGCAGAGAACCUGCAGCUCUGAAGGUGGGACUUGAAGGAGUUUGUGAAGAUUGAAUGUUUGUGUCUCACUCCCAAAUUCAUAUAUCAGAGCCCUAACCCACAAUGUGAUGAUAUUUGGAAGUAAAGCCAUUGGAAGGUAAUUAGGUUUCGAUGAGGUCAUGAGGGUGGAGGCUUCAUGAUGGGAUUGGUGACCUUUUAAGAAGAGGAGGAGAACAGAGCCCUCUCUCCUGCUAUGCGAGGAUACAGUGUGAAGGUGGCCGUCCGCGAGCAGGAGCAGACUCUCAGUAACAACUGAAUCUCCUAGCACCUUGAUCUUGGACUUCCCAGCCUCCAGAACUAUGAGAAAUAAAUCUGCCAUUU